UGAACUUAGCUUGCUAAGUUUGAUGGCGACCGGCGCACGGGUGAGUAACGCGUAUCCAACCUGCCUUACACUCUUGGACAGCCUUCUGAAAGGGAGAUUAAUACAAGAUGUUAUCAUGAGUAAGCAUUUUCGCAUGAUUAAAGGUUUACCGGUGUAAGAUGGGGAUGCGUUCCAUUAGAUAGUAGGCGGGGUAACGGCCCACCAAGCCAACGAUGGGUAGCCGAGCUGAGAGGCUGAUCGGCCACACUGGAACUGAGACACGGUCCAAACUCC
Molecule: ribosomal RNA, 273 nt
Filed under: uncultured Bacteroides sp.
Lineage: Bacteria; Pseudomonadati; Bacteroidota; Bacteroidia; Bacteroidales; Bacteroidaceae
Description: partial 16S ribosomal RNA
Rfam family: Bacterial small subunit ribosomal RNA
Source: RNAcentral